GAUGAAGAACGCAGCGAAAUGCGAUAAGUAGUGUGAAUCGCAGAAUUCCGUGAAUCAUCGAAUCUUUGAACGCACAUUGCGCCUUCUGGUAUUCCGGAAGGCAUGCCUGUUCGAGAGUCAUUAACAACCGUUUCGAUCCCUUUCUUUCAGAAAUUACAAAGAGGAAAAGGGUUUGGUUAUGGUGGAGGAGGGAAAGGGAGCGUUUAGCCUGUAAAAAAAGAGGCUGUGUUCCGCCUCCCCCCCAAAAUUGUACAGGCGGUCGUGUGCGCCCACGCAUCGAGGUGUUGUAAAAGCUGCCACGGCACUUUUCACCUGUGCAGUGCGAGAUUGGCCAGCCGGUUUAAAAACCCCUCCAAACAAUCAAAGGUUGACCUCGGAUCAGGUAGGGAUACCCGCUGAACUUAAGCAUAUCAAUAAGCGGAGGA
This 425-nucleotide unclassified non-coding RNA is filed under the name soil metagenome. Its description in RNAcentral is "partial contains 5.8S ribosomal RNA, internal transcribed spacer 2, and large subunit ribosomal RNA". The stretch from base 1 to 120 matches the Rfam family "5.8S ribosomal RNA", at positions 35 to 154 of the family's 154-position model. The record is from RNAcentral.